AAUCAUCGACAUAAAGGGCCACUAUAAU
RNAcentral lists this small RNA (28 nucleotides) under Bombyx mori (domestic silkworm). RNAcentral describes it as "piRNA piR-bmo-1830948". Lineage: Eukaryota; Metazoa; Arthropoda; Insecta; Lepidoptera; Bombycidae. The record is from RNAcentral.